GGNGCAGNNUGNUGCAGCNNGCCGCGUGAGGGANGACGGCCUUCGGGUUGUAAACCUCUUUUAGCAGGGAAGAAGCGAAAGUGACGGUACCUGCAGAAAAAGCACCGGCUAACUACGUGCCAGCAGCCGCGGUAAUACGUAGGGUGCAAGCGUUGUCCGGAAUUAUUGGGCGUAAAGAGCUCGUAGGCGGUUUGUCGCGUCUGCUGUGAAAAUCCGAGGCUCAACCUCGGACCUGCAGUGGGUACGGGCAAACUAGAGUGCGGUAGGGGAGAUUGGAAUUCCUGGUGUAGCGGUGGAAUGCGCAGAUAUCAGGAGGAACACCAAUGGCGAAGGCAGAUCUCUGGGCCGUAACUGACGCUGAGGAGCGAAAGCGUGGGGAGCGAACAGGAUUAGAUACCCUGGUAGUCCACGCCGUAAACGGUGGGAACUAGAUGUGGGGUCCGUUCCACGGAUUCCGUGUCGCAGCUAACGCAUUAAGUUCCCCGCCUGGNNNNNNCGGA
This 500-nucleotide ribosomal RNA is filed under the name uncultured Actinomycetes bacterium. Its description in RNAcentral is "uncultured actinobacterium partial 16S rRNA". It matches the Rfam family "Bacterial small subunit ribosomal RNA", at positions 374 to 886 of the family's 1533-position model. The record is from RNAcentral. Lineage: Bacteria; Bacillati; Actinomycetota; Actinomycetes.